CAGGGGUAAACGGAAAAGACCCGAAAUUUCCGAAAAGGGAGAUUCACGUCUUUCCGCGAGUUAACGCAUUUGCUUCUCUUCGACGACUCUGCUCCCGUCCGGACUCGUCCGGUGCGUGGUCGUGGGGUUGCAGAGAGUGGUGUGGAGGCUCGCGGCGGACCGCACUUCUCCCUUAGUAGGACGUCGUGACCCGCCCGGCCAUGGUCUUACGGUCACGGGGUGGAGCCUGUUCUUGACGUGCUUGCACUUCUCGAGCAGACCCCUGUGUCCCGGCCAUGGUAUAAACUGGACGGUAUCAAAUGACAGUGUUCGGCCUCUCUUCGGCGGAGGAAACUCCUGCCAGUGAGCGCGAUUCGACCCACGACAAGGUGUUGAGAUGUUUCAGUCGGGCUAUGCCCGUCUGGCUGCUCUCAGCCCUGUUGGUUAUGGGACCUCUCGUUUGGCCUAUGCGCACUCGUCUACGGCGAACCAGUUUUGGGUUCUUGUCCGACCCGUCUUGAAACACGGACCAAGGAGUUCAGCGUGUACGCGAGUCAUUGGGUGUUAAAACCUAAAGGCGUAAUGAAAGUGAAGGAAACUUCCGUUUCUGAGGGAGGAUGAGUUGGUUACCCGCAAGGGGCCUCUCCGCACUCCCGGGGCGUCUCUUUCUCAUUGCGAGUGGAGGCGCACCUAGAGCGUACACGCUGAUACCCGAAAGAUGGUGAACUAUGCCUGGCCAGGACGAAGCCAGGGGAAACCCUGGUGGAGGUCCGCAGCGAUUCUGACGUGCAAAUCGAUCGUCGGAGCUGGGUAUAGGGGCGAAAGACCAAUCGAACCAUCUAGUAGCUGGUUCCCUCCGAAGUUUCCCUCAGGAUAGCUUGCGCUCAUGUGAACGAGUCUCAUCCGGUAGAGCGAAUGAUUAGAGGCCUUGGGGUCGAAACGACCUCAACCUAUUCUCAAACUCCAAAUAGAUGAGAACUCCGGCUUCCUUGAAACAACUCGUUUUUGAAGCCGGGGGCUCGGAUCAGAGUGCCAAGUGGGCCAAUUUUGGUAAGCAGAACUGGCGCUGUGGGAUGAACCAAACGUCGAGUUAAGGCGCCUAAAUCGUCGCUCAUGUGAAACCAUGAAAGGCGUUGGUUGCUUAAGACAGCAGGACGGUGGCCAUGGAAGUCGGAAUCCGCUAAGGAGUGUGUAACAACUCACCUGCCGAAGCAACUAGCCCUGAAAAUGGAUGGCGCUGUAGCGACGUUGCCUAUACUCGACCGUCAACGGCAAAGAUGUCUAGGCGGGCAACCGCUUGGACGUUACGCCUUGACGAGUAGGAGGGCCGCGGCGACGUGCGCAGAAGGGUCUGGGCGUGAGCCUGCCUGGAGCCGUCGUCGGUGCAGAUCUUGGUGGUAGUAACAAAUACUCCAGCGAGGCCCUGGAGGACUGAUGUGGAGAAGGGUUUCUUGUGAACAGCUGUUGCACAAGAGUCAGUCGGUCCUAAGCCCUAGGAGAAAUCCGAAGCGAUGAGUUGCCGUUAAGACAUA
Molecule: ribosomal RNA, 1511 nt
Filed under: Austrodapus nitens
Lineage: Eukaryota; Metazoa; Arthropoda; Insecta; Hemiptera; Miridae
Description: eukaryotic LSU rRNA
Rfam family: Eukaryotic large subunit ribosomal RNA
Source: RNAcentral